Molecule: small RNA, 28 nt
Filed under: Bombyx mori (domestic silkworm)
Lineage: Eukaryota; Metazoa; Arthropoda; Insecta; Lepidoptera; Bombycidae
Description: ovarian small RNA-16611
Source: RNAcentral
GCCAGUUGAAGGCAGCCAUCAUGUGCCA